GUUGUAUAGUCAAGUAAUUAAGUGCAUGUGGUGGAUGCCUUGGCAGUCAGAGGCGAUGAAAGACGUAAUAGCCUGCGAUAAGCUCCGGGGAGGCGGCAAAUAUCCUUUGAUCCGGAGAUUUCUGAAUGGGGGAACCCACCUACUAUAAGGUAGGUAUUGCAACAUGAAUACAUAGUGUUGCAAGGCGAACGAGGGGAAGUGAAACAUCUCAGUACCCUUAGGAAAAGAAAUCAAUUGAGAUUCCCUCAGUAGCGGCGAGCGAACGGGGAAAAGCCCAUUAAGUCAUAUCAGUUUUAGUGGAAUGCUCUGGGAAGUGCAACCAUAGUGGGUGAUAGUCCUGUACACGAAAGGGCUGAUAUGAUGAUGUCGAGUAGGGCGAGGCACGUGAAACCUUGUCUGAAUAUGGGGGGACCAUCCUCCAAGGCUAAAUACUCCUGACUGACCGAUAGUGAACCAGUACCGUGAGGGAAAGGCGAAAAGAACCCCUGUGAGGGGAGUGAAAUAGAUCCUGAAACCGCAUGCAUACAAGCAGUGGGAGCCGACUUGUUCGGUGACUGCGUACCUUUUGUAUAAUGGGUCAGCGACUUAUAUUCAGUAGCGAGGUUAACCGUUUAGGGGAGCCGUAGGGAAACCGAGUCUUAAUAGGGCGUAUAGUUGCUGGGUAUAGACCCGAAACCAGGCGAUCUAUCCAUGAGCAGGUUGAAGGUUGGGUAACACUAACUGGAGGACCGAACCCACUGUCGUUGAAAAGCCAGGGGAUGACUUGUGGAUAGGGGUGAAAGGCUAAUCAAGCCUGGUGAUAGCUGGUUCUCCCCGAAAGCUAUUUAGGUAGCGCCUCGGACGAAUACCAUAGGGGGUAGAGCACUGUUUCGGCUAGGGGGUCAUCCCGACUUACCAAACCGAUGCAAACUCCGAAUACCUAUGAGUACUAUCCGGGAGACAGACUGCGGGUGCUAACGUCCGUAGUCAAGAGGAAAACAAUCCAGACCGCCAGCUAAGGCCCCAAAAUCAUAGUUAAGUGGGAAACGAUGUGGGAAGGCAUAGACAGCUAGGAGGUUGGCUUAGAAGCAGCCACCCUUUAAAGAAAGCGUAAUAGCUCACUAGUCGAGUCGGCCUGCGCGGAAGAUGUAACGGGGCUAAAACUAUGUGCCGAAGCUGCGGAUUUGACUUUAAGUCAAGUGGUAGGGGAGCGUUCUGUAAGCCGAUGAAGGUGGAUUGAGAAGUCUGCUGGAGGUAUCAGAAGUGCGAAUGCUGACGUGAGUAACGACAAAACGGGUGAAAAACCCGUUCGCUGAAAGACCAAGGGUUCCAGUCCAACGUUAAUCGGGGCUGGGUGAGUCGACCCCUAAGGCGAGGCCGAGAGGCGUAGUCGAUGGGAAAUUGGUUAAUAUUCCAAUACUUCUGUGUAAUGCGAUGAGAGGACGGAGAAGGUUAAGUCAGCCUGGCGUUGGUUGUCCAGGUGGAAGGUUGUAGGCAUGUAUCUUAGGCAAAUCCGGGGUACUCUAUGCUGAGAACUGAUAGCAAGCUGUACUUGUACAGUGAAGUGGCUGAUACCAUGCUUCCAGGAAAAGUCUCUAAGCUCCAGUUACACAGGAAUCGUACCCGAAACCGACACAGGUGGUCAGGUCGAGUAGACCAAAGCGCUUGAGAGAACUCUGCUGAAGGAACUAGGCAAAAUGGUACCGUAACUUCGGGAGAAGGUACGCUGCUGACGGUGAUGGGACUUGCUCCCUGAGCUAUUGGCAGCCACAGAAACCAGGCCGCUGCAACUGUUUAUUAAAAACAUAGCACUCUGCAAACACGAAAGUGGACGUAUAGGGUGUGAUGCCUGCCCGGUGCUGGAAGGUUAAUUGAUGGGGUUAGCGUAAGCGAAGCUCUUGAUCGAAGCCCCAGUAAACGGCGGCCGUAACUAUAACGGUCCUAAGGUAGCGAAAUUCCUUGUCGGGUAAGUUCCGACCUGCACGAAUGGCAUAAUGAUGGCGGCGCUGUCUCCAGCAGAGGCUCAGUGAAAUCGAAAUCGCUGUGAAGAUGCAGUGUACCCGCGGCUAGACGGAAAGACCCCGUGAACCUUUACUGCAGCUUGACAUUGAACUUUGACCUUACUUGUGUAGGAUAGGUGGGAGGCUUUGAAGUUGGAACGCCAGUUCCAAUGGAGCCGUCCUUGAAAUACCACCCUGGUAAUGUUGAGGUUCUAACUCUGUCCCGUUAUCCGGGACGAGGACCAUGUCUGG
Molecule: ribosomal RNA, 2231 nt
Filed under: Acinetobacter tandoii
Lineage: Bacteria; Pseudomonadati; Pseudomonadota; Gammaproteobacteria; Moraxellales; Moraxellaceae
Description: bacterial LSU rRNA
Rfam family: Bacterial large subunit ribosomal RNA
Source: RNAcentral